Molecule: ribosomal RNA, 474 nt
Filed under: uncultured bacterium
Lineage: Bacteria
Description: bacterial SSU rRNA
Rfam family: Bacterial small subunit ribosomal RNA
Source: RNAcentral
ACUCCUACGGGAGGCAGCAGUGGGGAAUAUUGCACAAUGGGCGCAAGCCUGAUGCAGCCAUGCCGCGUGUAUGAAGAAGGCCUUCGGGUUGUAAAGUACUUUCAGCAGUGAGGAAGGUGGGUAUGUUAAUAGCAUACUCAUUUGACGUUAGCUGCAGAAGAAGCACCGGCUAACUCCGUGCCAGCAGCCGCGGUAAUACGGAGGGUGCGAGCGUUAAUCGGAAUUACUGGGCGUAAAGCGCAUGCAGGUGGUUUGUUAAGUCAGAUGUGAAAGCCCGGGGCUCAACCCUCGGAAUUGCAUUUGAAACUGGCAAACUAGAGUACUGUAGAGGGGGGUAGAAUUUCAGGUGUAGCGGUGAAAUGCGUAGAGAUCUGAAGGAAUACCGGUGGCGAAGGCCGGCCCCCUGGACAGAUACUGACACUCAGAUGCGAAAGCGUGGGGAGCAAACAGGAUUAGAUACCCUGGUAGCUCUGC